This 410-nucleotide ribosomal RNA is filed under the name uncultured bacterium. Its description in RNAcentral is "bacterial SSU rRNA". It matches the Rfam family "Bacterial small subunit ribosomal RNA", at positions 356 to 773 of the family's 1533-position model. The record is from RNAcentral.
GGGGAAUUUUGCGCAAUGGGGGAAACCCUGACGCAGCAACGCCGCGUGGACGAUGAAGCUUCUUGGAGUGUAAAGUCCUUUCGGCAGGGAAGAAUCCCGCAAGGGUUGACGGUACCUGACGAAGAAGCGCCGGCCAACUACGUGCCAGCAGCCGCGGUAAGACGUAGGGCGCGAGCGUUGUCCGGAUUUAUUGGGCGUAAAGAGCUCGUAGGCGGCUUGUUGCGUCGGCUGUGAAAACCCAUGGCUCAACCGUGGGCUUGCAGCCGAUACGGGCAGGCUGGAGUUCGGUAGGGGAGACUGGAAUUCCUGGUGUAGCGGUGAAAUGCGCAGAUAUCAGGAGGGACACCGGUGGCGAAGGCGGGUCUCUGGGCCGAUACUGACGCUGAGGAGCGAAAGCGUGGGGAGCGAAC